Molecule: long non-coding RNA, 1037 nt
Organism: Mus caroli (Ryukyu mouse)
Lineage: Eukaryota; Metazoa; Chordata; Mammalia; Rodentia; Muridae
Source: RefSeq, a predicted model, not a curated record
UCUGUGGGCAGCAGAGCCACCUGCUGCUAUUCUGGUGAGGCACACCCAUUGCUCCUUCCAAGGACCUUAUCAGAAGCCAAAGGGCUGGGAGCCUAGACAUGAAGCAGGAACUUCUGUGGUCUGUUACUCUAAUGAAGUCUGCUCUGCCUCAGCUGUCUUCUCUCUCAUUCCAGGACAGUCAGGCUCUCAAUGUUUCUGCUUCUCUAAGCCCCUGGGUAUUGUGGUUAUCAUAGCUGCUUUCAUUAUCAUCAUUGGCGCUGUCAUCAUUUUGAUUCUCAAAAUCAUUUGCUAUUGUAAAAGAGGAGAGAAUAUUCAGCUCUCCUCCACUAUGCUAUGAAGCUCUGGAAAGUAAGCAGAUGGCAUUCCUGAAGAUCACUGGAUUUAAGGAAGUUAGGAAGCAAUGAACACUAUUGUUUCUAAACUGGAGACUGACCUUGCAGGAAUGUAUUUGCAAACUGUGGCAACUUAGCUGCUAAAAAUUGUGUUUGCUUCACCCUCAAGCUAGAGUCAAGUGUCCUUUGAUACAGGACUGAAACAUUCCAAAUAGCCCAUCUGAAUUUGGAGCUGACAUUCAUCCCACUGCAUACCCCGUGGUCCCCCAGAUAUGUGAUGUGCCCAUCUUUCUUGUGAAGACCAGAGGGCUUCUCUCUGUAUGCAGCCAGAGGGCUUCCCUCCUUGAAGCCUGCCUUGGCUGGCCUCAGAGAUAGGAGGUUUUGUGCUAUGAACUUGUAAGCUAAAGUCAGUUUGGGCUCAUGGUGCGCAGAAUGUCCUCCUAGAAGGCAAGGAUGGGAGGACCCAAAAAUGUUGUCCUUUGAGCCCACAUCAGGAUGUGGCCCAGACAAGGUGCUUUGUUAUCCAUAAAAACCCAUAACAAAGCCCCUGGCAGGCCAGGCUGAGCAACUGUGGACUUUGCCACACCAGACACUGGGAAUAGUGUCUGUGUUUUUAGGCUCUCCACCCCCCAGGCAUCUAAGAACUAGCCUUAGUCUUUUUUGGGAAGGAAAGGGUUUAUUUGGCUUACACUUCCAUACUGUUGU